RNAcentral lists this transfer RNA (72 nucleotides) under Camelus bactrianus (Bactrian camel). It matches the Rfam family "tRNA". Rfam says of the family: Transfer RNA (tRNA) molecules are approximately 80 nucleotides in length. Lineage: Eukaryota; Metazoa; Chordata; Mammalia; Artiodactyla; Camelidae. The record is from Rfam by way of RNAcentral. RNAcentral also lists the same sequence under 1 other name.
GGGGGUGAGCUCAAGUGGUAGAGCUCAUGCUUAGCAUGCAUGAGGUCCUAGGUUCAAUCCCCAGUACCUUCA